CGGACCAAGGAGUCUAACACGUGCGCGAGUCACAGGGUAACUCGCAAAAAUUGCACGAAACCCUAAGGCGAAAUGAAAGUGAAGGUCAGGCACUGCACUGACCGAGGCAGGAUCCGUCCGGGUGAGCGAAGCUCUUCUUCCUUUCGCGGGUUCGUCCCGCGGGGGAGCUCGGCGGCGCACUGCCGGCCCAUCUCGACCGCUUCCCGUCGGCGAGGUGGAGCUAGAGCGCACACGUUGGGACCCGAAAGAUGGUGAACUAUGCUCGGGCAGGACGAAGCCAGAGGAAACUCUGGUGGAGGUCCGUAGCGAUUCUGACGUGCAAAUCGAUCGUCGGACCCGAGUAUAGGGGCGAAAGACUAAUCGAACCGUCUAG
This 373-nucleotide ribosomal RNA is filed under the name Otostigmus voprosus. RNAcentral describes it as "partial large subunit ribosomal RNA". It matches the Rfam family "Eukaryotic large subunit ribosomal RNA", at positions 662 to 947 of the family's 3401-position model. Lineage: Eukaryota; Metazoa; Arthropoda; Chilopoda; Scolopendromorpha; Scolopendridae. The record is from RNAcentral.